RNAcentral lists this ribosomal RNA (1395 nucleotides) under Campylobacter jejuni. RNAcentral describes it as "partial 23S ribosomal RNA". It matches the Rfam family "Bacterial large subunit ribosomal RNA", at positions 1540 to 2925 of the family's 2925-position model. Lineage: Bacteria; Pseudomonadati; Campylobacterota; Epsilonproteobacteria; Campylobacterales; Campylobacteraceae. The record is from RNAcentral.
AUACUCCGAGAACUGAAAGGCUUUUUGAAGUCUUCGGAUGGAUAGAAGAACCCCUGAUGCUGUCGAGCCAAGAAAAGUUUCUAAGUUUAGCUAAUGUUGCCCGUACCGUAAACCGACACAGGUGGGUGGGAUGAGUAUUCUAAGGCGCGUGGAAGAACUCUCUUUAAGGAACUCUGCAAAAUAGCACCGUAUCUUCGGUAUAAGGUGUGGUUCGCUUCGUAUUAGGAUUUACUCCGAAAGCGAAGAAACUUACAACAAAGAGUCCCUCCCGACUGUUUACCAAAAACACAGCACUCUGCUAACUCGUAAGAGGAUGUAUAGGGUGUGACGCCUGCCCGGUGCUCGAAGGUUAAUUGAUGGGGUUAGCAUUAGCGAAGCUCUUGAUCGAAGCCCGAGUAAACGGCGGCCGUAACUAUAACGGUCCUAAGGUAGCGAAAUUCCUUGUCGGUUAAAUACCGACCUGCAUGAAUGGCGUAACGAGAUGGGAGCUGUCUCAAAGAGGGAUCCAGUGAAAUUGUAGUGGAGGUGAAAAUUCCUCCUACCCGCGGCAAGACGGAAAGACCCCGUGGACCUUUACUACAGCUUGACACUGCUACUUGGAUAAGAAUGUGCAGGAUAGGUGGGAGGCUUUGAGUAUAUGACGCCAGUUGUAUAUGAGCCAUUGUUGAGAUACCACUCUUUCUUAUUUGGGUAGCUAACCAGCUUGAGUUAUCCUCAAGUGGGACAAUGUCUGGUGGGUAGUUUGACUGGGGCGGUCGCCUCCCAAAUAAUAACGGAGGCUUACAAAGGUUGGCUCAGAACGGUUGGAAAUCGUUCGUAGAGUAUAAAGGUAUAAGCCAGCUUAACUGCAAGACAUACAAGUCAAGCAGAGACGAAAGUCGGUCUUAGUGAUCCGGUGGUUCUGUGUGGAAGGGCCAUCGCUCAAAGGAUAAAAGGUACCCCGGGGAUAACAGGCUGAUCUCCCCCAAGAGCUCACAUCGACGGGGAGGUUUGGCACCUCGAUGUCGGCUCAUCGCAUCCUGGGGCUGGAGCAGGUCCCAAGGGUAUGGCUGUUCGCCAUUUAAAGCGGUACGCGAGCUGGGUUCAGAACGUCGUGAGACAGUUCGGUCCCUAUCUGCCGUGGGCGUAAGAAGAUUGAAGAGAUUUGACCCUAGUACGAGAGGACCGGGUUGAACAAACCACUGGUGUAGCUGUUGUUCUGCCAAGAGCAUCGCAGCGUAGCUAAGUUUGGAAAGGAUAAACGCUGAAAGCAUCUAAGCGUGAAGCCAACUCUAAGAUGAAUCUUCUCUAAGCUCUCUAGAAGACUACUAGUUUGAUAGGCUGGGUGUGUAAUGGAUGAAAGUCCUUUAGCUGACCAGUACUAAUAGAGCGUUUGGCUUAUCUUUAAUAAAGCAU